AAGCCACACCGGGCUGUAGAAGUGUAGAUUCUGGGAAUUUCCUCGAGCUGGUCCACGGAGGAGAAAUUACGGGGGAGGGAGGAUGUAACCUAGGUCUAGUGAGUAGUGACAUUGAGGAGCAAACCUAGGUCUGACGGAGGAUCGAUCCCAAGUCCGGCGCCGUCCCGAGCGGGCGGCGACCGGGGAGCGGAGGCGUCGGGGGUGUGGAUGCGCGCCGGACCCGGUUACCGCUGCCGGGAAACGGAGGCGAGGCGGGCGUCGCCCUUGUGGGGGUGAAUCGAGGAUUCGAGGGAGGAAUGGAGGCGCGAGGCGAUGCGGAAAUGGGUUUUAAGGGGGAGUGGUUGGGGGAAAUGGGGUUUUGGGCACUGGUUUUCCUGCUAAUAAAUUAAAACAGUAAUGUUAAGGCACGGUCGUCAAGACGUGAUGGGACGCUUAGCCAUCUAUUUUCAUCCACUCAUUUCACUUUUCA
This 469-nucleotide long non-coding RNA is filed under the name Setaria viridis. Its description in RNAcentral is "long non-coding RNA (SVIR_LNC007651)". Lineage: Eukaryota; Viridiplantae; Streptophyta; Magnoliopsida; Poales; Poaceae. The record is from RNAcentral.